RNAcentral lists this ribosomal RNA (413 nucleotides) under uncultured bacterium. RNAcentral's name for it is "bacterial SSU rRNA". It matches the Rfam family "Bacterial small subunit ribosomal RNA", at positions 364 to 774 of the family's 1533-position model. The record is from RNAcentral.
UUGGACAAUGGAGGCAACUCUGAUCCAGCCAUGCCGCGUGAAGGAAUAAGGCCCUAUGGGUUGUAAACUUCUUUUAGACGGGACAAAACCCCUUUACGUGUAAAGGGUUGAUGGUACUGUCAGAAUAAGCAUCGGCUAACUUCGUGCCAGCAGCCGCGGUAAUACGAAGGAUGCAAGCGUUAUCCGCAAUUAUUGGGUUUAAAGGGUGCGUAGGCGGACUAAUAAGUCAGUGGUGAAAGCCUGCAGCUUAACUGCAGAAUUGCCAUUGAUACUGUUAGUCUUGAGUACAGUUGAGGUAGGCGGAAUGUGUCAUGUAGCGGUGAAAUGCUUAGAUAUGACACAGAACACCGAUUGCGAAGGCAGCUUGCUAAGCUGUAACUGACGCUGAGGCACGAAAGCGUGGGGAGCAAACA